Long non-coding RNA from Cheilinus undulatus (humphead wrasse), 322 nucleotides. RefSeq lists it as uncharacterized. The transcript is spliced from 2 exons. The record is from RefSeq and is a predicted model, not a curated record. Lineage: Eukaryota; Metazoa; Chordata; Actinopteri; Labriformes; Labridae.
UGUCGUUUUAUUAUCUUAUUUUGGUUAGCUUCCGGUUCCGGAGGCUGUUUCUGGCUGCUAACUUUCUUUGCUUUCCCUGAGGCAUUCACCCCUCCCCCCCUGGUGCUGUGGAGAGCGCACACCUGCAGCGAAUCACUCAUCGAGGAUCACUAUUUAGGACCUGCUGCAGCUCUCUUCAGCGCCUGAGUCUUGCCAACCUUACCUUACGUGCCUCCUGCCCUGAUCACCGCAGCCAGCUCCAGCACACUCUCACUUUCCCUUGGACUCCUGAGAUCCCCCCUCCCUUUGUCACUUACCUGCACAAUAAAUCUGUUAAAUCUGC